GACGAACGCUGGCGGCGUGCCUAAUACAUGCAAGUCGAGCGGAACUGGGGGAGCUUGCUCCUUCCAGUUUAGCGGCGGACGGGUGAGUAACACGUGGGCAACCUGCCCUGCAGAUCGGGAUAACUCCGGGAAACCGGUGCUAAUACCGAAUAGUUUGGCGCCUCUCCUGAGGCGCUACGGAAAGACGGUUUCGGCUGUCACUGCAGGAUGGGCCCGCGGCGCAUUAGCUAGUUGGUGGGGUAACGGCCACCCAGGCGACGAUGCGUAGCCGACCUGAGAGGGUGACCGGCCACACUGGGACUGAGACACGGCCCAGACUCCUACGGGAGGCAGCAGUAGGGAAUCUUCCGCAAUGGACGCAAGUCUGACGGAGCAACGCCGCGUGAGUGACGAAGGUUUUCGGAUCGUAAAACUCUGUUGUGAGGGAAGAACACGUACCAACUAACUAUUGGUACCUUGACGGUACCUCACCAGAAAGCCACGGCUAACUACGUGCCAGCCGCCGCAGUAA
RNAcentral lists this ribosomal RNA (511 nucleotides) under uncultured bacterium. Its description in RNAcentral is "partial 16S ribosomal RNA". It matches the Rfam family "Bacterial small subunit ribosomal RNA", at positions 28 to 523 of the family's 1533-position model. The record is from RNAcentral.